Molecule: small nucleolar RNA, 138 nt
Organism: Tachyglossus aculeatus (Australian echidna)
Lineage: Eukaryota; Metazoa; Chordata; Mammalia; Monotremata; Tachyglossidae
Source: RefSeq, a predicted model, not a curated record
CCCCUCUCAGGGUUGUACCUGGAGAGUUUCCGGUACUCUACCAGUCUCGGCUGCAGGAGGGAGAGUUAAGCAGAGGCCUACGCUUUCCAUUUCUAGCUUGGGCAGUGGCUAGCGAGUGGAAGGCAAUUUGUUACAAGU